This 446-nucleotide ribosomal RNA is filed under the name uncultured bacterium. RNAcentral describes it as "bacterial SSU rRNA". It matches the Rfam family "Bacterial small subunit ribosomal RNA", at positions 329 to 792 of the family's 1533-position model. The record is from RNAcentral.
AUCCAGACUCCUACGGGAGGCAGCAGUGGGGAAUAUUGCACAAUGGGGGAAACCCUGAUGCAGCGACGCCGCGUGAGCGAUGAAGUAUUUCGGUAUGUAAAGCUCUAUCAGCAGGGAAGAAGAUGACGGUACCUGACUAAGAAGCCCCGGCUAACUACGUGCCAGCAGCCGCGGUAAUACGUAGGGGGCAAGCGUUAUCCGGAUUUACUGGGUGUAAAGGGAGCGUAGACGGCGAUGCAAGCCAGAUGUGAAAGCCCGGGGCUCAACCCCGGGACUGCAUUUGGAACUGUGUGGCUGGAGUGUCGGAGAGGCAGGCGGAAUCCCUAGUGUAGCGGUGAAAUGCGUAGAUAUUAGGAGGAACACCAGUGGUGAAGGCGGCCUGCUGGACGAUGACUGACGUUGAGGCUCGAAAGCGUGGGGAGCAAACAGGAUUAGAUACCCUAGUA